AUUGAACGCUGGCGGAAUGCUUUACACAUGCAAGUCGAACGGCAGCACGGGGCAACCUGGUGGCGAGUGGCGAACGGGUGAGUAAUACAUCGGAACGUGCCCAAUCGUGGGGGAUAACGUAGCGAAAGUUACGCUAAUACCGCAUACGAUCUACGGAUGAAAGCGGGGGAUCGCAAGACCUUGCGCGAUUGGAGCGGCCGAUGUCAGAUUAGGUAGUUGGUGGGGUAAAGGCUCACCAAGCCGACGAUCUGUAGCUGGUCUGAGAGGACGACCAGCCACACUGGGACUGAGACACGGCCCAGACUCCUACGGGAGGCAGCAGUGGGGAAUUUUGGACAAUGGGCGCAAGCCUGAUCCAGCCAUUCCGCGUGCAGGAUGAAGGCCUUCGGGUUGUAAAGCACUUUCGUUGGGGAUGAUAAUGACCGUACCCAAAGAAGAAGCCACGCUAAAUCGUG
This 455-nucleotide ribosomal RNA is filed under the name uncultured bacterium. Its description in RNAcentral is "bacterial SSU rRNA". It matches the Rfam family "Bacterial small subunit ribosomal RNA", at positions 30 to 505 of the family's 1533-position model. The record is from RNAcentral.